RNAcentral lists this ribosomal RNA (460 nucleotides) under uncultured bacterium. Its description in RNAcentral is "partial 16S ribosomal RNA". It matches the Rfam family "Bacterial small subunit ribosomal RNA", at positions 338 to 795 of the family's 1533-position model. The record is from RNAcentral.
CCUACGAGAGGCAGCAGUGAGGAAUAUUGGUCAAUGGACGAGAGUCUGAACCAGCCAAGUAGCGUGAAGGAUGACUGCCCUAUGGGUUGUAAACUUCUUUUAUAAAGGAAUAAAACGAGGCACGUGUGCCUUUUUGCAUGUACUUUAUGAAUAAGGAUCGGCUAACUCCGGGCCUGCAGCCGCGGUAAUACGGAGGAUCCGAGCGUUAUCCGGAUUUAUUGGGUUUAAAGGGAGCGUAGAUGGGUUGUUAAGUCAGUUGUGAAAGUUUGCGGCUCAACCGUAAAAUUGCAAUUGAUACUGGCAGUCUUGAGGACAGUUGAGGUAGGCGGAAUUCGGGGUGUAGCGGUGAAAUGCUUAGAUAUCACGAAGAACCCCGAUUGCGAAGGCAGCUUACUAAACUGUGACUGACAUUGAUGCUCGAAAGUGUGGGUAUCAAACAGGAUUAGAUACCCCUGUAGUC